Molecule: ribosomal RNA, 301 nt
Filed under: uncultured bacterium
Lineage: Bacteria
Description: partial 16S ribosomal RNA
Rfam family: Bacterial small subunit ribosomal RNA
Source: RNAcentral
CAGUCGCCGCGGGAAUACGUAGGUGGCAAGCGUUGUCCGGAAUUAUUGGGCGCAAAGGGCUCGCAGGCGGUUUCUUAAGUCUGAUGUGAAAGCCCCCGGCUCAACCGGGGAGGGUCAUUGGAAACUGGGAAACUUGAGUGCAGAAGAGGAGAGUGGAAUUCCACGUGUAGCGGUGAAAUGCGUAGAGAUGUGGAGGAACACCAGUGGCGAAGGCGACUCUCUGGUCUGUAACUGACGCUGAGGGGCGAAAGCGUGGGGAGCGAACAGGAUUAGAGACCCGUGUAGUCCCUGUCUCUUAUAC